This 659-nucleotide long non-coding RNA is filed under the name Salvia miltiorrhiza (redroot sage). Its description in RNAcentral is "long non-coding RNA (SMIL_LNC006961)". The record is from RNAcentral. Lineage: Eukaryota; Viridiplantae; Streptophyta; Magnoliopsida; Lamiales; Lamiaceae.
CGCCGCUCUGCCUGCCUCUUGCCUCUCUUCUCACGCCGUCUCUCGCCGUCAGGCCGCCUCUUCUCUCCUCCACCAUUCAUGGUGCUUCGCCGUCAGGGUUUCGCCGCCUCCUCCCUUGACCCUUCUGUUCCGCGGUGAUGAGCGACCUCUGGGAGGGCUACCUGAGCGGGGGAGGCGUCGUCCGUGGUUGGUGAGAUUGAAGUUGUGUGUGCUUCGCCGGAAGCCCUAGAUCCGCCGAAAUCAAGGUUUUGCGGGCGGCGGAGAGGCGAAGGUGAGGGCGGAGAGGCGAAGGUGAGGGCGGAGAGGUGAAGGUGAGGCGACAUAGAUCUAGCUCUGUUCGUGAGCUUCGCGCACCGCAGCCUCAGAUCUCUUUCUCUCGAGCUCAAGGCACAGGAAGUUGUGGUUUGAUUUAUGUAUCUUUGAUUUUGGGGAUGAAGAUUUUAUGUAUCUUUGAUUUUUGUGGAGGAUGAUGCCUUUAUGUAUCUUUGAUUUUGGGGAUGAAGCUUUGAUUUAGAGUACAAAUUUUUUCUGUGAUAAUUUUCGUUCUGCAUUUGUUCUGCAUUUUAGGGUUUAUAAUUUGUUCAACAUUUUAGGGAUGAAUUCUUGUUUGAGUUCGUUGAAUCUGCAUCAGUCGAGCUUCAUUUAGGCAUUUGUUUGAG